CACUCUCUGUUAGCCCCCCUCACCCGACACUACCUCCCAGCCGCCCCUCACAUUUCUCCCCACCAUUGCCCAUUCUCCUUUGGUCGCCAGCUCCCUCUCCACCUCCUUAGGCCUCCCCUCCCCUUUCACCCCCACCGCCGGCACGCGGUUCCUAGCCCUUGCACUUCGUCGCAUUCUCGUAGAAUCCGGUCACCGAAGUGGCCGAGGAGGCCCUCGAGCUCGGCAUACUCGCGGGCGACACAACGCUAGGCGUCGUCAGAGGGGGACACGGAGGCGCUGGAACUCGCACGCCCCUGCUCUUCCCCGCCCCUUCUUUGAAUCAGGUGGUCGAUGUGCCCGAGGAGGUGCUCGAGCUCGGCAUGACCAUGGGCAACCCAACGCAAGGCACUGUCUCAGGCGAACGUGGAGGCCGACAACAAGGCGCAGGGGUGGGUGCUCAUCCUCACCGCUGACCACAAAUGCCGCGAGAAAAUUUGGGCAUAGAUUGUGGAGGAGCGCUCCAAGCAUGACGCUCUCGUGAUCUCGAUCACAACAGCAAGCAAGCAUGCCAGCUGCCGCCCUACGUCAAGCCAGUCCAGGCCGCAGAAGACUACGGGCCACAACGGCUCGUGCGGAUCCGACCAGCCGCUAGACCCUGCCAUCGAUGGGGAGGCAUGGCUAGGGUGGCUCGAUACAGAACACAAGCUUUUGCGGAACACUGCACAAGCAUAGGUCAAUGCCAAAAGAAAUGAUCACCUCUUACAAGUCCCUGUAACUCACUGAAAAAUCUACGAAAUAUCAUUUUUA
Triticum urartu is the source of this 786-nucleotide non-coding RNA. NCBI's taxonomy places the organism in Eukaryota, Viridiplantae, Streptophyta, Magnoliopsida, Poales, Poaceae. The record is from RefSeq and is a predicted model, not a curated record.